CUGCGGAUUUGGACUGUUCCACUGGAUUAUUUUGCUGUAAAAAUAAAUAAAUAAAAUAAGAGAGAGAGAGAGAAAAGAUCUCAACUAAAGCGAUCAUGUGCACCCAGAUACACACCCACUUGGGAACGUUCAUCUUUGUGAUGAUGUUUCUUACAGUGUCUCCGUUAUCUAAUCACCAUGCACUUGUGAAAGUAUACGAUCCCGUCAUGCUCAUCUGCAACGGUACAUGUUCGGGUGAUGUUUCAUGGAUGUUCUCGGUGCGGACUGAAAUACUUGUGAGUGAAUGUAAGAGGAGCACCUGUGUUGAA
Ictalurus furcatus (blue catfish) is the source of this 308-nucleotide long non-coding RNA. RefSeq lists it as uncharacterized. The transcript has 3 exons. Lineage: Eukaryota; Metazoa; Chordata; Actinopteri; Siluriformes; Ictaluridae. The record is from RefSeq and is a predicted model, not a curated record.